RNAcentral lists this ribosomal RNA (465 nucleotides) under uncultured bacterium. Its description in RNAcentral is "partial 16S ribosomal RNA". It matches the Rfam family "Bacterial small subunit ribosomal RNA", at positions 28 to 506 of the family's 1533-position model. The record is from RNAcentral.
GAUGAACGCUGGCGGCGUGCUUAACACAUGCAAGUCGAACGAUGAAGCCCAGCUUGCUUGGUGGAUUAGUGGCGAACGGGUGAGUAACACGUGAGUAACCUGCCCUUAACUCUGGGAUAAGCCUGGGAAACUGGGUCUAGUACGGGAUAGGAGCGUCCACCGCAUGGUGGGUGUUGGAAAGAUUUAUCGGUUUUGGAUGGACUCGCGGCCUAUCAGCUUGUUGGUGAGGUAAUGGCACACCAAGGCGACGACGGGUAGCCGGCCUGAGAGGGUGACCGGACACACUGGGAUUGGGACACGGCCCAGACUCAUACGGGAGGCAGCGGUGGAGAAUAUUGCACAAUGGGCGCAAGCCUGAUGCAGCGACGCCGGGUGAGGGAUGACGGCCUUCGGGUUGUAAACCUCUUUCAGUAGGGAAGAAGCGAAAGUGACGGUACCUGCAGAAGAAGCACCGGCUAACUACGU